Molecule: ribosomal RNA, 484 nt
Filed under: uncultured bacterium
Lineage: Bacteria
Description: bacterial SSU rRNA
Rfam family: Bacterial small subunit ribosomal RNA
Source: RNAcentral
GGCUCAGAACGAACGCUGGUGGCGUGUCUUAUACAUGCAAGUCGAGCGAGGUAGCAAUACCUAGCGGCGAACGGGUGAGUAACGCGUAAGCAAUCUGCCCCAUAUCAGGAAAUACCCGUGCCAACGCGCGGUUAAUGUCCAGGAGCGUGGCCUUCCGCAUGGAAGGUUGACAAGAGAUUUAUCGGUAUGGGAUGAGCUUGCGUCCGAUUAGCUAGUUGGCGGGGUAACGGCCCACCAAGGCGACGAUCGGUAGCCGGCCUGAGAGGGUGAUCGGCCACAUUGGGACUGAGAUACGGCCCAGACUCCUACGGGAGGCAGCAGUAGGGAAUAUUGCACAAUGGGGGAAACCCUGAUGCAGCAACGCCACGUGUGGGAAGAAGCAUUUCGGUGUGUAAACCACUGUCGUGAGGGAAUAAGGCAUUGUUUCGGCGAUGUUGAAUGUACCUCGAAAGGAAGCACCGGCAAACUUCGUGCCAGCAGCCGC